GGGGUUGGCGAAGGAGGAAUCGCCACGUAGCGCAUCUGGGGCGGCGCGACUAUGGAGAGACGGCGGAAAAGCCGGGAGGCAUCGGGCCUUGCACCCGGGGGUCCGGCGAGGUGAUGAUGGGCGCGAGCUGCGAGGCGCUGCAGAAAGGGUCGUAGAGGGGCUUCCGCUGCGAUUGGGGAAGAGGGCGUGGGAAUCCAUCCGGUCGCGGCCGUCGACGGGGCGGAGCGGCGGGGGUCGGAGGAGUUGAGCCACGCGGAGGAGAAGCUCUGAAGCGGGCAUGCCACUCGAGUGCGUCUGCACCGGGAGAUCUGGGGGAAAGAUCUGCGGGUCCACCGGUC
This 338-nucleotide long non-coding RNA is filed under the name Setaria viridis. RNAcentral's name for it is "long non-coding RNA (SVIR_LNC003207)". The record is from RNAcentral. Lineage: Eukaryota; Viridiplantae; Streptophyta; Magnoliopsida; Poales; Poaceae.